Molecule: ribosomal RNA, 253 nt
Filed under: uncultured bacterium
Lineage: Bacteria
Description: partial 16S ribosomal RNA
Rfam family: Bacterial small subunit ribosomal RNA
Source: RNAcentral
UACGUAGGGUGCAAGCGUUGUCCGGAAUUAUUGGGCGUAAAGAGCUCGUAGGCGGUCUGUCGCGUCGAAUGUGAAAACCCGGGACUCAACUCCGGGCCUGCAUUCGAUACGGGCAGACUAGAGUUCGGUAGGGGAGACUGGAAUUCCUGGUGUAGCGGUGAAAUGCGCAGAUAUCAGGAGGAACACCGGUGGCGAAGGCGGAUCUCUGGGCCGUAACUGACGCUGAGGAGCGAAAGCAUGGGUAGCGAACAGG